This is a long non-coding RNA of Mus musculus (house mouse), 2645 nucleotides long. RefSeq annotates it as predicted gene, 38900. The record is from RefSeq and is a predicted model, not a curated record. Lineage: Eukaryota; Metazoa; Chordata; Mammalia; Rodentia; Muridae. The transcript is spliced from 2 exons.
UCCACCUCUGAGUGGUGGGUUAGGGGGUUGCACUUACAGUCCAGGUAGCACAGAUGGGCAGGGUAGGAGGAGAGAACACAAAACAUGUGGUUUGGGGGAGGGACAGCUUUCACAAUUUUUUCUCCUAGAGUGUGACAUUGUCCUACUGUGCUGGUCAGGUUACAUCUGUCUCACCCUAGCUUUUAGCCAGCCCUGUCUGUAACUAAGUCCUCAUCACCACGCCCUCUGCUGUGCCCAGCUGUAGUCUGGCAAGUCUUUAAGGUGGCAGUUGGUGCUCUCCCUCUUCCUCAUUCUCUAUACCCUUCUAUCCUCUUCUGUCACCUUUCCAGGGGUAUUGUCCAGAAUGUCUGGCACAAGCCUCAGUAUUGAUAGAGUAUGCCAUCCAUCAGGUUAUGUUGGGGAGAGAAGCCUUGCUCGGGUUGGACUCCAAUGACAGGGAGAGAUGUGUUCUCUUCUUGUCCCAUGAUCUGUGACCUUCCCAGCCCCCUCCCUUAGAGGCCCAUCCUCAGUAUGUUAAGACCUGCAGGGGUCCCUACUAGACCUCCUCCUCAGAAUCUUUCUCCAUCAGCAGGACUGACUAUGGUUGCCAUGCCCUAUGGGCUCCAGGGCAUUCGGCAUUAUGGGAACACGCCUGGUGCUGGGUAGAGGUGGAGUCGGGAGAGUGGCAGGUAGAUCAGAAGCCACAGUGUGAGGAGUGGGUUGGAACAGAGGCAGGGCUGGUAGAGUUCCAAAGGCUGGGGAGUAAAGAGCCUGAAGGAAUGGGCGUUCCAGAGGGAAGUAGGUUGGGUUCAUUGGCAGGCCUGGGAGCAGGGUGCAACAGAAAGCUGGGACACUGCGCAAUGAAGAGUUGGCUAGCCUAGCCUUCUUAUCCUAUAAGUGCCCUGGAUACACUUCCUACUGUAUCCCAGAACUCUUUUGGUUCCCUAUAAGGUGCCAGAUGUCCCCGUGGCUCUGACCUGAGAGACUAGGCUCCAUGUGGCCCUCCUACUACACACUAUUUCGAAAUAGGUCACAGAACUACUUUGGUGUGGACCCAGCCUGCCACCUGUGCUGUUUGCUGCUUGACCCAGUUGCUGCCGACUCCAUGAAAGACAGGAGCAUAAUUCAGUCCACAAACUUCUUUGUGUGUCACCAUGAGCCUGGUGGUGGCAGGGAUGCUGGGGACCUGCCACUCAGGUUAGGUUGUAUACACUCUGACCAGCACAUUUAUGUUCAAGUUUGAAGAACAUGAAGGAAACAGGCUGACCAACUGUCUGUUUUCUGUGGCUAUAAUGGAAUACCGGAAACUGGGAAAUUUAUAAAGGGAAGAUGUUUAAUUUGGCUCACCAUUUAGAAUGCUUGGAAGUCCCAGACUGGCUGACUGUAUCUGGUAAGGGACUUGUACUUUUCCAACGCACAGUGGAAAUGAGUGAGGAAAAAGAGGCCAAAACCCUGUUCUUGACAUGACUGCUCCUUCCCUCCAGAGUAAUACUAAUUUUUCUGGUUCUGCCUUCCCAUCACCCCAGACAUUCUGCUGGGUGCCAUCUACUAACACUGUCAAGGACACGAACGAAGAAUCCUGCACAUGAACUCCCGAGGCCAUGCUCAACCCAAAAUACCAAGUUCAGAGGGAGAGAACUUUGAGCAGGAUUGAACUGGGCAUGCUCAGGGCACAAAAGGCCCAUUAGCCACAGCCCAGAGAAGGAAGAGAUGAGACAGGGAAGACAGAGUGAUCACAACCUACUCUCAGACACAGUUGGAUUUCUUUCUUCAGGAAGGAAGGGCCAGCAAAGGACCCAAGGAGAUGCUUUCUAGGAGGUUCGUGAAUAUUCAAGAGCAGCCCAGGGAACGCUAAGAGGUGAGGCUGGGUAAUGCCAGAGAGAAGCAAUGGGAUUUGGCCACACGGUAGGUAUUGGCAGUUACCAAUGAGUAUUCAGUAUGGCAGGGGCCAGAAUCCAGCUGGAGUAAGAUUAGGGGAGGCUGUGAUGUGAUGUCUCUUUCAGUAAUGGGGAAUGGAGAAAAAAAUGAAGAGGUAGCUACAGAGGGUAUAGGGGUCAAGGAGGAAAAGAAGCUGGGAAAAAAAUGUGUGUGAUUCAACAGAGAUACAGGAAGAGGUAUGUGGUAGGACACUGACCUUGAAGAACUAGCUGCAGAGCCUAGGGGCGGGAGUGACCUUUACCACAGAGUAGGGACAGUUUAGACAGUAAUGGCAUCAUCUAGAUGGAGGUGGUUGGUGGCCCAAGGCCUCUAGCUUGUUAUUUCCAUUUAUUCAGCAAUGUGGAUGCAAGACAGAGGAGAUAGGGAGGAGGGAAGGGAGAAGAGAGAGGCUGGGAGCUCUUCCUAGGGCUUGCUGGGGUAGUGGGGGCUGCUGGGAAAUGUGCUAUUCUCCUAGCGAGCUGUGGGCUCCCCGCUGUGCAGAGGGCCCAGCUCUCAUUGUUCUGUGACUUUUCUCUUUCCACACUCUCUGGCUCUUCUGUGUGGCGCUGAGGCUGAAGGCAGCCUGGGUUUGAUGAGAAGACACAGCAGCCAGCGUGAGGGAGGCUCCUGGAAACAAUGAUAAUAAAUUGGUGACGCAGUGUGGUUUUGUCAGCUUUUGUUUCCGGAAUGGAAUACCGGAGGCCAACUAUCUAUGACACAAGUUUGUGGUUCCAUUUCGGAGGUAAAAA